RNAcentral lists this ribosomal RNA (219 nucleotides) under Gilliamella apis. Its description in RNAcentral is "partial 16S ribosomal RNA". It matches the Rfam family "Bacterial small subunit ribosomal RNA", at positions 1320 to 1533 of the family's 1533-position model. The record is from RNAcentral. Lineage: Bacteria; Pseudomonadati; Pseudomonadota; Gammaproteobacteria; Orbales; Orbaceae.
AUGAAGUCGGAAUCGCUAGUAAUCGUGAAUCAGAAUGUCACGGUGAAUACGUUCCCGGGCCUUGUACACACCGCCCGUCACACCAUGGGAGUGGGUUGCACCAGAAGUAGAUAGCUUAACCGCAAGGGGGGCGUUUACCACGGUGUGGUCCAUGACUGGGGUGAAGUCGUAACAAGGUAACCGUAGGGGAACCUGCGGUUGGAUCACCUCCUUACGAAG